GUGAGGAUGAAGAGAGAGAGGGUGAGGAUGAAGAGAGAGAGGGUGAGGAUGAAGAGAGAGAGGGUGAGGAUGAAGAGAGAGAGGGUGAGGAUGAAGAGAGAGAGGGUGAGGAUGAAGAGAGAGAGGGUGAGGAUGAAGAGAGAGGGAGAUGAAGAGAGAGAGAGGAUGAAGAGAGAGAGGGUGAGGAUGAAGAGAGAGAGGGUGAGGAUGAAGAGAGAGAGGGUGAGGAUGAAGAGAGAGGGGGUGAGGAUGAAGAGAGAGAGGGUGAGGAUGAAGAGAGAGAGAGAGAGAGAGAGAGAGAGAGAGAGAGAGAGUCUGGAUGUAGAUGAGGAGGCAGGAGAGGUGUUGGAGGCGUCUGUCGGUCGGUGCUGUCGAUGACGUGACAGACAUAUUUUGUGAAACAAUAAUGCAACUGGCAGCUCU
Molecule: long non-coding RNA, 423 nt
Organism: Oncorhynchus tshawytscha (Chinook salmon)
Lineage: Eukaryota; Metazoa; Chordata; Actinopteri; Salmoniformes; Salmonidae
Source: Ensembl